GACGAACGCUGGCGGCGUGCCUAAUACAUGCAAGUAGAACGCACAGUUUAUACCGUAGCUUGCUACACCAUAGACUGUGAGUUGCGAACGGGUGAGUAACGCGUAGGUAACCUGCCUGGUAGCGGGGGAUAACUAUUGGAAACGAUAGCUAAUACCGCAUAAUAUUGAUUAUUGCAUGAUAAUUGAUUGAAAGAUGCUAUUGCAUCACUACCAGAUGGACCUGCGUUGUAUUAGCUAGUAGGUGAGGUAACGGCUCACCUAGGCGACGAUACAUAGCCGACCUGAGAGGGUGAUCGGCCACACUGGGACUGAGACACGGCCCAGACUCCUACGGGAGGCAGCAGUAGGGAAUCUUCGGCAAUGGACGAAAGUCUGACCGAGCAACGCCGCGUGAGUGAAGAAGGGUUUCGGAUCGUAAAUCUCUGUUGUAAGAGAAGAACGGGUGUGAGAGUGGAAAGUUCACACUGUGACGGUAUCUUAACAGAAAGGGACGGCUAACUACGUG
This 505-nucleotide ribosomal RNA is filed under the name uncultured bacterium. RNAcentral's name for it is "partial 16S ribosomal RNA". It matches the Rfam family "Bacterial small subunit ribosomal RNA", at positions 28 to 507 of the family's 1533-position model. The record is from RNAcentral.